AAGAUCUUUACAGUGAUAAUGGUCUACGUGCCUUUAGUGAUUUACAAGCUGACUAUGGUUUACCUGGAUCAUCCUUUUUUCUGUAUUUGCAAUUAAGGUCAGCCAUGAGGGCAUACGGUGUCCCAUGGGGUACAGGCCUGCCCACUCACCCCCUUCAUAGGUUGCUGGCUGUAAGGGGACCUACUAGGGGUAUAGUAUCAAGACUUUAUAGAUUUGCUUCUGAACCUCAGAGGUCCCUUCCAGUAGAGGCCACAUGGCAGAGAGAUUUGUCAGUUGAAACUGACGAGAUUUGUUGGAGCACAGUGUGGGAAAAUAUAUGUAAAACAUCCAAAAACCCUGACCAUCAAUUAAUACAUUACAAAUUUGUUCACAGGAUGUAUUUAACACCUAGAAGACGCCACUCUAUGAAGAUUAUCACAUCUCCUAAUUGCGAUCUAUGCACACUUAACGUUUCAGGGACAUUUAUACAUGUAUAUUGGGACUGCCCUGAUGUAAGCAUUUUUUGGAAACAGGUAUCUUCUACCUUAUGCGACAUUCUUGAAAGCACAAUCCCACAUUCUCCAGUGUUACUUUUGCUUAAUGACGACUCGUCCCUAGACAUGUCUUUACAGCAAAAACGUAUUCUAUGGGCUGGGCUCACUGCUGCCAAGAAAAUGUUGGCCUCGAGGUGGAAGCCACCACAUUCUUUAGAGUGGCGAAGGUGGGCUAAUUCCUUUCUUGAUAUCAUUCGUAUGGAAAGAUCUGUUGCUCAAAUGCAUGCAGCUAGCCCUAAAACAUUGAGGGCUUGGGAUAUGGCAUACAGUGUAGCUAAAGAGAGAGUGCAGUGUGAUUGAUCUUAUUUACUUAUAUUUUUGUUUGUCUGUUUAGAGAAGAUGUUUUGAUUUGUUUGUUUCUCUAUGAUAUGUUUGUAACAUGUUUGAAUGUGUGUUUGUGUACACACACAGAGAUGUGCAUGUAUAUCUUAACUGAUAUAUAGAGAGAGAUCCUGGGUAAUUUGAAUUGGGGGGGGGGGGUGUGUCAUCGGAGUCGCC
Pygocentrus nattereri (red-bellied piranha) is the source of this 1031-nucleotide long non-coding RNA. NCBI's taxonomy places the organism in Eukaryota, Metazoa, Chordata, Actinopteri, Characiformes, Serrasalmidae. The record is from Ensembl.